UACGGGGGGGGCAAGCGUUGUUCGGAAUUACUGGGCGUAAAGGGCUCGUAGGCGGCCAACUAAGUCAGGCGUGAAAUCCCUCGGCUUAACCGGGGAACUGCAUCUGAUACUGGAUGGCUUGAGUUCGGGAGAGGGAUGCGGAAUUCCAGGUGUAGCGGUGAAAUGCGUAGAUAUCGGGAGGAACACCUGUGGCGAAAGCGGCGCACUGGACCACAUCUGACGCUGAGGCGCGAAAGCUAGGGGAGCAAACAGG
This 253-nucleotide ribosomal RNA is filed under the name uncultured bacterium. RNAcentral's name for it is "partial 16S ribosomal RNA". It matches the Rfam family "Bacterial small subunit ribosomal RNA", at positions 524 to 776 of the family's 1533-position model. The record is from RNAcentral.